RNAcentral lists this ribosomal RNA (1374 nucleotides) under Bacillus tequilensis. Its description in RNAcentral is "bacterial SSU rRNA". It matches the Rfam family "Bacterial small subunit ribosomal RNA", at positions 57 to 1417 of the family's 1533-position model. Lineage: Bacteria; Bacillati; Bacillota; Bacilli; Caryophanales; Bacillaceae. The record is from RNAcentral.
GCAGUCGAGCGGACAGAUGGGAGCUUGCUCCCUGAUGUUAGCGGCGGACGGGUGAGUAACACGUGGGUAACCUGCCUGUAAGACUGGGAUAACUCCGGGAAACCGGGGCUAAUACCGGAUGCUUGUUUGAACCGCAUGGUUCAAACAUAAAAGGUGGCUUCGGCUACCACUUACAGAUGGACCCGCGGCGCAUUAGCUAGUUGGUGAGGUAAUGGCUCACCAAGGCGACGAUGCGUAGCCGACCUGAGAGGGUGAUCGGCCACACUGGGACUGAGACACGGCCCAGACUCCUACGGGAGGCAGCAGUAGGGAAUCUUCCGCAAUGGACGAAAGUCUGACGGAGCAACGCCGCGUGAGUGAUGAAGGUUUUCGGAUCGUAAAGCUCUGUUGUUAGGGAAGAACAAGUACCGUUCGAAUAGGGCGGUACCUUGACGGUACCUAACCAGAAAGCCACGGCUAACUACGUGCCAGCAGCCGCGGUAAUACGUAGGUGGCAAGCGUUGUCCGGAAUUAUUGGGCGUAAAGGGCUCGCAGGCGGUUUCUUAAGUCUGAUGUGAAAGCCCCCGGCUCAACCGGGGAGGGUCAUUGGAAACUGGGGAACUUGAGUGCAGAAGAGGAGAGUGGAAUUCCACGUGUAGCGGUGAAAUGCGUAGAGAUGUGGAGGAACACCAGUGGCGAAGGCGACUCUCUGGUCUGUAACUGACGCUGAGGAGCGAAAGCGUGGGGAGCGAACAGGAUUAGAUACCCUGGUAGUCCACGCCGUAAACGAUGAGUGCUAAGUGUUAGGGGGUUUCCGCCCCUUAAUGCUGCAGCUAACGCAUUAAGCACUCCGCCUGGGGAGUACGGUCGCAAGACUGAAACUCAAAGGAAUUGACGGGGGCCCGCACAAGCGGUGGAGCAUGUGGUUUAAUUCGAAGCAACGCGAAGAACCUUACCAGGUCUUGACAUCCUCUGACAAUCCUAGAGAUAGGACGUCCCCUUCGGGGGCAGAUUGACAGGUGGUGCAUGGUUGUCGUCAGCUCCUGUCCUGAAAAUGUUGGGUUAAAUCCCGCAACAAAAGCCACCCUUGAACUUAUUUGCCACCAUUCAAUUGGGGACUCUUAAGGGGAUUGCCGCGGACAAACCGCAGGAGAGAGGGGGAGAAACCCCAAACCUCCUGCCCCCUUAUAACACGCGGGUACACAAGGGGUUAAAAAGGAGAAAAAAAAAGGGGCCCAAAACCCCGAGGUUAACCAAUCCCCCAAAUUUGUUUCUAUUUUGGAAUCCAUUCGCCACUCCACUGCGGGAAGCUGGAAUCCUUAAAAUCCCGGUACCCAUGCCCCGGGGGAUAAUUUCCCGGCCUUGCAACCCCCCUGCCACCACGAAAUUGAAACC